AAUGCAAACUGCAUACUGCUUUGAACAUCGACAUCUUGAACGCAUAUUGCGGCCAUGGGUUAGCCUGUGGCCACGCCUGUCCGAGGGUCGGCUUAUAAAUAUCACGACGCCCAAAAAGUCGUGGCUUGGGUUUUGCCAGCUGGCGUGAUCUCCUCUAUGAGUAAUCAUGUGAGGUGCCAGAUCUAUGGCGUUUCCCUAAGUAUCCGGAUGCACCCUUGUCUUGGCAGAAAGCCGUGGUGAGGUGCAGUGGCGGAAUCGUGGUUUAAUAAUCGGGUUGGUACUCAGUUGUCAGUGUGUUCGGCGAUCCCCUAGUCGGCACACUCAUGAUUUCUGGGAUAAUUCCAUACCAGGCACGUUCCGUUACUGUUACUUUGUCAUUGGUUUGAUGCUGAACUUGGUCAUGUGUCUGAUGCUAUUUCAUAUAACGACGGUACCCUUCGUGGUCUGUCUUCCUGACCUCGGUUCAGACGUGAUUACCCGCUGAACUUAAGCAUAUCACUAAGCGGAGGAAAAGAAACUAA
Molecule: ribosomal RNA, 521 nt
Filed under: Fasciola gigantica
Lineage: Eukaryota; Metazoa; Platyhelminthes; Trematoda; Plagiorchiida; Fasciolidae
Description: eukaryotic LSU rRNA
Rfam family: Eukaryotic large subunit ribosomal RNA (bases 454-521)
Source: RNAcentral